RNAcentral lists this ribosomal RNA (374 nucleotides) under uncultured organism. RNAcentral describes it as "partial 16S ribosomal RNA". It matches the Rfam family "Bacterial small subunit ribosomal RNA", at positions 525 to 896 of the family's 1533-position model. The record is from RNAcentral.
CGGGGGGGGGCAAGCGUUGUUCGGAAUUACUGGGCGUAAAGGGCGCGUAGGCGGUCCGCAAGUCUUUCGUGAAAUCCCACAGCUCAACUGUGGAAUUGCGAGGGAAACUGCGGGACUUGAGUCCCGGGAGAGGAGAGUGGAAUUCCCAGUGUAGCGGUGAAAUGCGUAGAUAUUGGGAGGAACACUGGUGGCGAAGGCGGCUCUCUGGACCGGCACUGACGCUGAGGCGCGAAAGCUAGGGGAGCAAACGGGAUUAGAUACCCCGGUAGUCCUAGCCCUAAACGAUGAGCACUUGGUGUGGCGGGUAUCGACCCCUGCCGUGCCGAAGCUAACGCAUUAAGUGCUCCGCCUGGGGAGCACGGUCGCAAAGGCUG